RNAcentral lists this ribosomal RNA (2931 nucleotides) under Escherichia coli. RNAcentral's name for it is "bacterial LSU rRNA". It matches the Rfam family "Bacterial large subunit ribosomal RNA". The record is from RNAcentral. Lineage: Bacteria; Pseudomonadati; Pseudomonadota; Gammaproteobacteria; Enterobacterales; Enterobacteriaceae.
GGGUUGUGAGGUUAAGCGACUAAGCGUACACGGUGGAUGCCCUGGCAGUCAGAGGCGAUGAAGGACGUGCUAAUCUGCGAUAAGCGUCGGUAAGGUGAUAUGAACCGUUAUAACCGGCGAUUUCCGAAUGGGGAAACCCAGUGUGUUUCGACACACUAUCAUUAACUGAAUCCAUAGGUUAAUGAGGCGAACCGGGGGAACUGAAACAUCUAAGUACCCCGAGGAAAAGAAAUCAACCGAGAUUCCCCCAGUAGCGGCGAGCGAACGGGGAGCAGCCCAGAGCCUGAAUCAGUGUGUGUGUUAGUGGAAGCGUCUGGAAAGGCGCGCGAUACAGGGUGACAGCCCCGUACACAAAAAUGCACAUGCUGUGAGCUCGAUGAGUAGGGCGGGACACGUGGUAUCCUGUCUGAAUAUGGGGGGACCAUCCUCCAAGGCUAAAUACUCCUGACUGACCGAUAGUGAACCAGUACCGUGAGGGAAAGGCGAAAAGAACCCCGGCGAGGGGAGUGAAAAAGAACCUGAAACCGUGUACGUACAAGCAGUGGGAGCACGCUUAGGCGUGUGACUGCGUACCUUUUGUAUAAUGGGUCAGCGACUUAUAUUCUGUAGCAAGGUUAACCGAAUAGGGGAGCCGAAGGGAAACCGAGUCUUAACUGGGCGUUAAGUUGCAGGGUAUAGACCCGAAACCCGGUGAUCUAGCCAUGGGCAGGUUGAAGGUUGGGUAACACUAACUGGAGGACCGAACCGACUAAUGUUGAAAAAUUAGCGGAUGACUUGUGGCUGGGGGUGAAAGGCCAAUCAAACCGGGAGAUAGCUGGUUCUCCCCGAAAGCUAUUUAGGUAGCGCCUCGUGAAUUCAUCUCCGGGGGUAGAGCACUGUUUCGGCAAGGGGGUCAUCCCGACUUACCAACCCGAUGCAAACUGCGAAUACCGGAGAAUGUUAUCACGGGAGACACACGGCGGGUGCUAACGUCCGUCGUGAAGAGGGAAACAACCCAGACCGCCAGCUAAGGUCCCAAAGUCAUGGUUAAGUGGGAAACGAUGUGGGAAGGCCCAGACAGCCAGGAUGUUGGCUUAGAAGCAGCCAUCAUUUAAAGAAAGCGUAAUAGCUCACUGGUCGAGUCGGCCUGCGCGGAAGAUGUAACGGGGCUAAACCAUGCACCGAAGCUGCGGCAGCGACGCUUAUGCGUUGUUGGGUAGGGGAGCGUUCUGUAAGCCUGUGAAGGUGUGCUGUGAGGCAUGCUGGAGGUAUCAGAAGUGCGAAUGCUGACAUAAGUAACGAUAAAGCGGGUGAAAAGCCCGCUCGCCGGAAGACCAAGGGUUCCUGUCCAACGUUAAUCGGGGCAGGGUGAGUCGACCCCUAAGGCGAGGCCGAAAGGCGUAGUCGAUGGGAAACAGGUUAAUAUUCCUGUACUUGGUGUUACUGCGAAGGGGGGACGGAGAAGGCUAUGUUGGCCGGGCGACGGUUGUCCCGGUUUAAGCGUGUAGGCUGGUUUUCCAGGCAAAUCCGGAAAAUCAAGGCUGAGGCGUGAUGACGAGGCACUACGGUGCUGAAGCAACAAAUGCCCUGCUUCCAGGAAAAGCCUCUAAGCAUCAGGUAACAUCAAAUCGUACCCCAAACCGACACAGGUGGUCAGGUAGAGAAUACCAAGGCGCUUGAGAGAACUCGGGUGAAGGAACUAGGCAAAAUGGUGCCGUAACUUCGGGAGAAGGCACGCUGAUAUGUAGGUGAAGUCCCUUGCGGAUGGAGCUGAAAUCAGUCGAAGAUACCAGCUGGCUGCAACUGUUUAUUAAAAACACAGCACUGUGCAAACACGAAAGUGGACGUAUACGGUGUGACGCCUGCCCGGUGCCGGAAGGUUAAUUGAUGGGGUCAGCGCAAGCGAAGCUCUUGAUCGAAGCCCCGGUAAACGGCGGCCGUAACUAUAACGGUCCUAAGGUAGCGAAAUUCCUUGUCGGGUAAGUUCCGACCUGCACGAAUGGCGUAAUGAUGGCCAGGCUGUCUCCACCCGAGACUCAGUGAAAUUGAACUCGCUGUGAAGAUGCAGUGUACCCGCGGCAAGACGGAAAGACCCCGUGAACCUUUACUAUAGCUUGACACUGAACAUUGAGCCUUGAUGUGUAGGAUAGGUGGGAGGCUUGGAAGUGUGGACGCCAGUCUGCAUGGAGCCGACCUUGAAAUACCACCCUUUAAUGUUUGAUGUUCUAACGUUGACCCGUAAUCCGGGUUGCGGACAGUGUCUGGUGGGUAGUUUGACUGGGGCGGUCUCCUCCUAAAGAGUAACGGAGGAGCACGAAGGUUGGCUAAUCCUGGUCGGACAUCAGGAGGUUAGUGCAAUGGCAUAAGCCAGCUUGACUGCGAGCGUGACGGCGCGAGCAGGUGCGAAAGCAGGUCAUAGUGAUCCGGUGGUUCUGAAUGGAAGGGCCAUCGCUCAACGGAUAAAAGGUACUCCGGGGAUAACAGGCUGAUACCGCCCAAGAGUUCAUAUCGACGGCGGUGUUUGGCACCUCGAUGUCGGCUCAUCACAUCCUGGGGCUGAAGUAGGUCCCAAGGGUAUGGCUGUUCGCCAUUUAAAGUGGUACGCGAGCUGGGUUUAGAACGUCGUGAGACAGUUCGGUCCCUAUCUGCCGUGGGCGCUGGAGAACUGAGGGGGGCUGCUCCUAGUACGAGAGGACCGGAGUGGACGCAUCACUGGUGUUCGGGUUGUCAUGCCAAUGGCACUGCCCGGUAGCUAAAUGCGGAAGAGAUAAGUGCUGAAAGCAUCUAAGCACGAAACUUGCCCCGAGAUGAGUUCUCCCUGACUCCUUGAGAGUCCUGAAGGAACGUUGAAGACGACGACGUUGAUAGGCCGGGUGUGUAAGCGCAGCGAUGCGUUGAGCUAACCGGUACUAAUGAACCGUGAGGCUUAACCUUACAACGCCGAAGGUGUUU